This 395-nucleotide ribosomal RNA is filed under the name uncultured Desulfocapsa sp. RNAcentral's name for it is "bacterial SSU rRNA". It matches the Rfam family "Bacterial small subunit ribosomal RNA", at positions 992 to 1382 of the family's 1533-position model. Lineage: Bacteria; Pseudomonadati; Thermodesulfobacteriota; Desulfobulbia; Desulfobulbales; Desulfocapsaceae. The record is from RNAcentral.
GGAAUCAUUUGGAAACAUAUGAGUGCCUCGCAAGAGGAGCCCGAUGACAGGUGCUGCAUUGGCUGUCGUCAGCUCGUGUCGUGAGAUGUUGGGUUAAGUCCCGCAACGAGCGCAACCCUUUGUCUUUAGUUGCCAUCAUUAAGUUGGGCACUCUAAAGAGACUGCCGGUGUCAAACCGGAGGAAGGUGGGGAUGACGUCAAGUCCUCAUGGCCUUUAUGACCAGGGCUACACACGUACUACAAUGGCAGGUACAAAGGGCAGCGACACAGCGAUGUGAUGCGAAUCCCGAAAAGCCUGCCUCAGUCCGGAUCGGAGUCUGCAACUCGACUCCGUGAAGUUGGAAUCGCUAGUAAUCGUGGAUCAGCAUGCCACGGUGAAUACGUUCCCGGGCCUU